AGGGCCAAACGGGUUAGAAAUUGCUCCCUCUCCACCAGGUGUGCGCUCACCAAGAACAAUCAAAAGCUCCCUUUCUGCCUACUUUUCCAGGGAUGGUGGGUCUGUGGGGUGGGUCACAGCUUCCGCUUCGUCACUCAGCUUGAAGUUGGUCCCUCCCUGACCCACUCCCAGCUACAUGCACAAACAUCUGAAAGUAGGCUGGCCUCUGUGGCUCACAUCUGGAAUGUUCCUGUGUGGAUACCCAUCUGCAAAGGGGCUAGAGGUUUGAACAAACAGCUGCAUGGACUUAUCAUCUGGGAUGGGCCCAGCCCCAUGGACAGAUACAAGAAAUAAGCCCAACUCUGUGGGCAGGUCUCUGGAUUAGACACAUCUGGAAGUUGCAGGUCAGGUGGACACAUCUGGAAGGGGCCCGGCUGCUGGCCACCAUGGAAGGGCCGUGCCCUCUGUCCCCAUGGCAGUUUAAAGCAAGCCCUCCCUUCAGUCCUGAAUUUGCCCUGGAGUUAAAAUUUCAGAGCUGAGGUCGUACAUGAAGUCACAAAACUUUUAGGUAGAAGGUUAAUGUUCUGUACAAUAUAUAUAUGAAUGUAAAAUAUAUAUAUAUACUGUAUAUAUAUAUAUAUGCACAGUGUAUAUAUGACCUGUAGCCCAUGUGUAUACAACCCUUUCUUGCACGUCUGCACACAGAGUGUACAUAACCCAGCCAGCAUGGGUGGGGACCAGGUGAGAGAUGGGGGCUGCAGCAGCAAAGUCUGGGACGGAGGUCUCAGAGAGCCCCUUGGGGUGAGGAAGGCCCUCCACACAUCAGAGCUCCAGACCCUGAAGAAGAGGGCAGAGCUCCAUGGUGCUGCCAGGUGAGUCCUGCACCGCCAGGGCCUCCUGUGGGAGGGGCAGGAUUGGCCAACGGACCUCAUCUCCAUCCGAGCCUGUCUGAGGCAGGACAGCCGGGUGUGUCUGAGAAGCAAUGUCAUGCUAGUACUCAGCCCCUGUGCCAAUAUUACAUUCUAGUUCUGGGGCAGUUCAUCAGGAGCAGAAGAGCUGGGAAAGAGCAGACCACUCCCCAGGCGUGUUCUCACACCUGCCUGCAGAAUCGCAGGUAGGUUUCAGGCUCCACCUAGGAUACCCUAGAAGGUGGGGCUAGUCUCGGUAGCAAAAGCCUCUGCCUCUGAUUCUCACCCACUUGCAGAAGCAGUCACAACUUGCACACAACACAGCUCACAGCUAGGGAAAGCACCUGUUAAAGAGAAUGCCCCCAGGGCAUGGCCAGCAUGCUGAUACAGUGUUCCCAUGCCCCUGUUAUUGAUCCUGUCCUCCUGCCUUCUAGAACAGUGGACCUCACAUCACCUCCCAGAUUGUCUCCAUUUUAUGAAUCAAAACUCUGAGGCCUCCAGACAUGAAGAAGCAGCCAUAGAUUCAGUCAAAUGCCAGCCAAGGGUUUGCCUCACCUCAGACAACCUCCCCAGCCCCAUUUGACCCAGAGACCAGCUGCCAGGGAGUGACCUCAGAGCCAGAGAGGUGAAAGAUGAGAGGCAAGAAGGUAGCUCCUAGCCUAGCACGGGCCAGGCUCCAUCUAUCUGCCCUUCUGUCCCCUGCGGCAUCCUGGCAGGGCAGCUGGCAGAGUGCCCCCUCCCCAGGAGGCUGCAGACCUCUGUCCCUGGCUCACCCAGAUCGGUCUGUUCUCUGCAGUUCCAUUCCUUUAGCCUCUUUUGCAGGUCUGAGCAUCUCUGGAGCAUGCAGGGGAGGAGAUAUCUGAAGUGGGCUUACGUGCAGUCAGCAGCCUGCCCCAGCUUCGGCCUCGGGUGUCAGGCUGGUCUGCACUGAACUCUGGGUCUGCCUCUGGGGCCCUGACCAAGCACGCCUGACUCCAGCCCCAUGAGGAGCAUCCCGUCUUGGUUCCAUAGGAAUCAUGGGCCCUCUUACCACUGUGCGUCAAGCCCCCAUCCCAUCUCUGCCUGGGCCGACUUCCUGGUUGGGCCUCCCAUGGUAGGGGCCUCAGUUCCCAGGCUCUGGGCUGAGCCCCCAGGCAGCACCAUGGGCCUCUGAGACCCUAGACCUGUCCCACCACCCAGACCAGAGUGCCUGGAAGCCCCCUACUCCCACUCAACAUGGUUCCCACACACUGGUCUCUGGGCCAUUCAGGGGAUGCCCUUUGUGGACAUGCAGAAUUUCUAUGAAUAUAGUUUUUUGUAAACAUUUUGUAACAAUUUGGGUUUCAUAGUAACUGUGUUACUUGCCAAUCAUUCUAGGCUGAUGUAAAUAAGUUUCCAAACAAAUCCGAUUAUUUUCCUUUUUAAGACACUGUGAUAUAUCAAAGUGCACAGUUUGCUGUAUGAAGUAAUAUGGUUUUAAAUUUUAAAUAAAAUGUUUCUAGAAAACAGG
RNAcentral lists this long non-coding RNA (2376 nucleotides) under Macaca fascicularis (crab-eating macaque). RNAcentral describes it as "lncRNA (ENSMFAG00000050006.1)". The record is from RNAcentral. Lineage: Eukaryota; Metazoa; Chordata; Mammalia; Primates; Cercopithecidae.